AGAAAUUCCAUGCUGCAAGGUAAAGAAACAAAGAAAUAUCCCUAUUCUUCCAGCUCUUCAUUCUUUGCUGCCCAUUUCUCUAUUCCUUCAGUUUACACACCAGGCAAAUGGCAAUAAGUUCAAUGAAAUAACCAUAAGCUUCACUUGUGAAGCCCCAGUGUCCCAUUGGGACAUUUCAAGAGAGAGAGAGGUGGGGAAUGGGCCACAAGGCAACCGAAUCACAGAACCUCGGGUAAAGGUAUGCAGGUUGUGUCGU
Molecule: unclassified non-coding RNA, 256 nt
Filed under: Hevea brasiliensis (rubber tree)
Lineage: Eukaryota; Viridiplantae; Streptophyta; Magnoliopsida; Malpighiales; Euphorbiaceae
Source: RNAcentral